This 301-nucleotide ribosomal RNA is filed under the name uncultured bacterium. RNAcentral describes it as "partial 16S ribosomal RNA". It matches the Rfam family "Bacterial small subunit ribosomal RNA", at positions 509 to 809 of the family's 1533-position model. The record is from RNAcentral.
CAGUAGCCGCGGUAAUACGUAGGGUGCGAGCGUUAAUCGGAAUUACUGGGCGUAAAGGGAGCGUAGGCGGCGUGGUAAGUCAGAUGUGAAAUCCCGGGGCUCAACCCCGGAACUGCAUCCGAUACUGCCGUGCUAGAGGAUUGGAGAGGUAGCUGGAAUUCUUGGUGUAGCAGUGAAAUGCGUGGAGAUCAAGAGGAACACUCGUGGCGAAAGCGAGCUACUGGACAAUAUCUGACGCUGAGGCUCGAAGGCCAGGGUAGCGAAAGGGAUUAGAUACCCCGGUAGUCCCUGUCUCUUAUAA